This 496-nucleotide ribosomal RNA is filed under the name uncultured bacterium. RNAcentral describes it as "partial 16S ribosomal RNA". It matches the Rfam family "Bacterial small subunit ribosomal RNA", at positions 28 to 506 of the family's 1533-position model. The record is from RNAcentral.
GACGAACGCUGGCGGCGUGCCUAAUACAUGCGAGUUGAGCGCUGAAGGUUGGUACUUGUACCAACUGGAUGAGCAGCGAACGGGUGAGUAACGCGUGGGGAAUCUGCCUUUGAGCGGGGGACAACAUUUGGAAACGAAUGCUAAUACCGCAUAAAAACUUUAAACACAAGUUUUAAGUUUGAAAGAUGCAAUUGCAUCGCUCAAAGAUGAUCCCGCGUUGUAUUAGCUAGUUGGUGAGGUAAAGGCUCACCAAGGCGAUGAUACAUAGCCGACCUGGGAGGGUGAUCGGCCACAUUGGGACUGAGACACGGCCCAAACUCCUACGGGAGGCAGCAGUAGGGAAUCUUCGGCAAUGGACGAAAGUCUGACCGAGCAACGCCGCGUGAGUGAAGAAGGUUUUCGGAUCGUAAAACUCUGUUGGUAGAGAAGAACGUUGGUGAGAGUGGAAAGCUCAUCAAGUGACGGUAACUACCCAGAAAGGGACGGCUAACUACGU